RNAcentral lists this ribosomal RNA (442 nucleotides) under uncultured bacterium. Its description in RNAcentral is "partial 16S ribosomal RNA". It matches the Rfam family "Bacterial small subunit ribosomal RNA", at positions 338 to 795 of the family's 1533-position model. The record is from RNAcentral.
CCUACGGGAGGCAGCAGUGGGGAAUAUUGGGCAAUGGGCGCAAGCCUGACCCAGCAACGACGCGUGAAGGAAGAAGGCUUUCGGGUUGUAAACUUCUUUUAAGAGGGAAGAGCAGAAGACGGUACCUCUUGAAUAAGCCACGGCUAACUACGUGCCAGCAGCCGCGGUAAUACGUAGGUGGCAAGCGUUGUCCGGAUUUACUGGGUGUAAAGGGCGUGUAGCCGGGCUGACAAGGCAGAUGUGAAAUUCCGGGGCUCAACCCCGGACCUGCAUUUGAAACUGUUGGUCUUGAGUAUCGGAGAGGCAGGCGGAAUUCCUGGUGUAGCGGUGAAAUGCAUAGAUAUCAGGAGGAACACCGGUGGCGAAGGCGGCCUGCUGGACUGCAACUGACGUUGAGGCCCGAAAGCGUGGGGAGCAAACAGGAUUAGAUACCCGUGUAGUC